Chinchilla lanigera (long-tailed chinchilla) is the source of this 767-nucleotide long non-coding RNA. RefSeq lists it as uncharacterized. The record is from RefSeq and is a predicted model, not a curated record. Lineage: Eukaryota; Metazoa; Chordata; Mammalia; Rodentia; Chinchillidae. The transcript is spliced from 3 exons.
UGCCGGCCCCGCCGCGGCUGGCCCGUGGGCGCGAGGCGUCUUUGUCAUCUUCCCCAGGGGACCCCAGGCGCCCCCGCCGAGGAUCGGGGGUUCAUUCAAUUCACGCGAAAUCCCGGCAUAGUUUUUCCAGAUGAGUCCUUCCAUUUCUGGCAAGGUGGCUGUGGAUUCUCCAUGUCAUGGACCUCAGCAUUCACAUGGGACCCUCCAUGAUGGAUGGGGUGGUUGUCGCCGACUAUCUCUUAUGCCACAAAAGCCCAUUUUUACACAUGCCCAUGGAAGGAAGGAGGUGAACUCUGGUGGCCUGUUUCCAUGUGAUGACAGCUGGCUGUUGAUGAAAAACAAAUAUUGACCAUCUCUGGCAUUGGUAAUGGAGGUGGUGCUCAAAAUAACUUGUUUGUGCAUGUGUCCUUGCUGCCUAAGGGCCCUCUGCCAUGGGUGUCCUCAUUUCCUUGGAAGCCUUCCGAACAUUGCAUCAGCAAUUCUUUAUCCAAAAAAAAGAAGAAGAAGAAGAAGAAAGAAUUCUUUAUUCAGCUCAGGGAUAGUGUUUCCAAAGCUCCUGAAAAGGGCAGUUUUGAAUAUUUACUAAAAUUGAUCCACAUCAUGCAGUUCAACAAUGAUCAAACUAUGGCCAAUCUUGCUUUAUCCACCUAUCUCCCCAUCCUGAAUUCCUAGGAAGAAGGUUCCAGGUGCCACACAAUUUUGACUAUACAUUUUUUAUGUGCAUUUCUGAAAUUUAAGACCCUUUGGGAAAAAUCACAAAAUUAGUA